UACGUAGGGGGCAAGCGUUGUCCGGAUUUAUUGGGCGUAAAGAGCGUGUAGGCGGCCACACAGGUCUGCUGUGAAAACUCGAGGCUCAACCUCGAGCUGUCGGUGGAAACCGUGUGGCUAGAGUCCGGAAGAGGAGAGUGGAAUUCCCGGUGUAGCGGUGAAAUGCGCAGAUAUCGGGAAGAACACCCGUGGCGAAGGCGGCUUUCUGGUCUGUAACUGACGCUGAGGCGCGAAAGCGUGGGGAGCAAACAGG
RNAcentral lists this ribosomal RNA (253 nucleotides) under uncultured bacterium. RNAcentral describes it as "partial 16S ribosomal RNA". It matches the Rfam family "Bacterial small subunit ribosomal RNA", at positions 524 to 776 of the family's 1533-position model. The record is from RNAcentral.